Molecule: small nuclear RNA, 97 nt
Filed under: Neotoma lepida (desert woodrat)
Lineage: Eukaryota; Metazoa; Chordata; Mammalia; Rodentia; Cricetidae
Source: RNAcentral
UCACUUCAGCAGUAGAAACACUAAAACUGAACUAUAAANAUUAGCAUAGCCCCUACACAAGGAGGAUGUGAAAAUUCCUGAGAUGACCCAUACUUUU